RNAcentral lists this non-coding RNA (27 nucleotides) under Bombyx mori (domestic silkworm). Lineage: Eukaryota; Metazoa; Arthropoda; Insecta; Lepidoptera; Bombycidae. The record is from RNAcentral.
UAUGUGAGAGUCAACGAUCUGCAUGGU